GAGAGCACAAUCAAGGGAAUGUCCCAGGUCCAACUAUCGCAUUCAGCUUCCAUUCAGAAGCUUGAAGCGCAAUUCAGAGACCUUUCCCGAGAAGUGCACACUCCUCAACGGGGACAAUUACCGAGUGAUACAGUUCCUAAUCCAAAAGGUAGUGGAGUGAACUCUGUGGAGAAUGUACUUGCCAUUAGCACCAGAAGUGGAAAAAUACUUCAGGGUGCUAAUAAAAAAGUGAUUGAUCAGGAACCAAUUGUUGAAAAAGAAACGCAGCCUAAUGUAUUGGAUGAUAUUGUCGAGGUAGAAGCAGGGGAGGAAGUCCCUAUUGUAGCCGAAGAAGAGCUGAAUCUUGAUAAACCAAAGGAACCGGUGGAAAACCAUGAAAAGGGGAAGGCAAAACUUUCCGGUGCUCUUCGCCCUUUGAGCCAAUUGUUCAAAUCUUCACUGCCUUUUCCUCAAAGACUGGUGAGAAAAAUAGAAGAUGAGAAGUGCUUGCGAUUUUAUGAUCAACUCAAGCAGUUGACGAUGAAUUUUCCGUUCAUGGACGCUGUCCAAGAAAUUCCUGGCUUUGCUAAGUAUUUGAAGGAUCUUUUAACAAAGAAGAAAAAACCAUUGAAACAUGACAUUGUGGGCAUCACUCACCGCGUUAGUGCCAUUCUUUCCAAGACCACAGUGCAAAAGAGGGAAGAUCCUGGAGCAUUCACAAUUCCAUGCACCAUAGGGCAGCAAAAUUUUGCCAGGGCUUUAUGUGAUAACGGGGCUAACAUAAAUCUUAUGCCCUUGGAAAUUUUUAAGAGAUCAGGGUUAGCGAUGCCGAGGCCAACUACCAUGAGGUUGCAGAUAGCUGACAGAUCGAUAAAAAGGUCAGUGGAGGUAGUUGAUGAUGUGCUGGUUCAAAUCGGGAAAUUUCUACUGCCGGCAGAUUUCGUGAUUCUUGAUUGUGCUAUUGAUCAAGAAAUUCCUAUUAUUAUGGGAAGACCUUUCCUUGCCACAGGGAGGGCUCUUAUGGAUUCCGAGAAGCACGAAAUAAAGUUCCGGGUGAACGAUGAGGAGGUGACUUUCCACGCAAGCAGAGUUAUGAAAUUACCUAGUCCUUAUCAAAGUAUUUCAGUCAUCAAUUCUGUUGAUGAGGUGGAUGAAGCUGUGGAAUUCAAAAUGGAGGAAGAAUGUUUGAGUGAAGCACUAUCGGCCAUCUUGGUAAAUUUUGAUGCUGAACAAAUGGAGGGAUAUACUGAGACAGAAAAUGCACUCAUCGGUCUGGGGUCUUACUCUUAUGAGCCCAAGAAACUAUCUCUUGAUUUAGAGACACGAACAACUCCUCCAGCAAAACCAUCGAUUAUUGAGCCACCGAAGUUGGAUCUCAAGCAACUUCCAUCUCAUCUUAAAUAUGUGUUUCUUGAAACGAAUGCCACCCUCCCAAUCAUUGUGUCAUCACUUCUGAAUGAGGGCUAAAUCCAAAGACUCAUCGCAGUAUUGAGAAAGCAUUUAAGAGCUUUGGGAUGGACUACGAAGAAGUUUUCUAAUGAUUUUUGAUAAAAUGCUCAACCUUAAAGAUUGUCUACAUAGUACAUACUCAGCGGGACGAGCCCAGCUCUUUUGUAUAGAUAAUGCUGAAUUAUACAGCAAAGUGGGAGUGCCUUUUGUGAUGGGAACAACUGGUGGAGAUAGGGAAAAGCUGUACAAAACAGUGGCAGACUCAAAAGUUGAUGCUGUGAUCUCCCCACAAAUGGGAAAGCAG
Molecule: RNA transcript, 1732 nt
Organism: Lycium barbarum (goji berry)
Lineage: Eukaryota; Viridiplantae; Streptophyta; Magnoliopsida; Solanales; Solanaceae
Gene name: 4-hydroxy-tetrahydrodipicolinate reductase 1, chloroplastic-like
Exons: 2
Source: RefSeq, a predicted model, not a curated record